Molecule: long non-coding RNA, 391 nt
Organism: Daphnia pulicaria
Lineage: Eukaryota; Metazoa; Arthropoda; Branchiopoda; Diplostraca; Daphniidae
Exons: 3
Source: RefSeq, a predicted model, not a curated record
AAGAAAUCGUCUGACGUCUGCUGCUGCAUGGCUGCUGUUACCGGUGUAGCACCAAGCACAUUUACGUGAAAUUGUGAAUGAAUCCAAGAAAAAAUGAUUUUUAACCUAUUUAUGCUAUCGUAGAAGUUCUCUAUCGUUUUGCCCUGGUUUUGCCAAAGACUACGAAGUCUGUGGUUUUGCAACUAUGCAUACUUGCACAGUUGCACGUGAUUUGAUCCUUCUGAUUCCUAAUCGACGGCCAUCCAACGAAGCUGUUUGUGUGAUUGAGCUCUAUUAAUUUUUGAAGAUGGUUGCAAACAAUUUCAAGAAAAAAGUGCUGCUAAAGAAAAAAUAACCACCUCCUUCCAGUCUUGUCAAGCCAGAAAACGCAUUUAUAUCGCAGGUAGGAUGC